RNAcentral lists this transfer RNA (73 nucleotides) under Shouchella lehensis G1. RNAcentral describes it as "Bacillus lehensis G1 tRNA-Ala". It matches the Rfam family "tRNA". Rfam says of the family: Transfer RNA (tRNA) molecules are approximately 80 nucleotides in length. The record is from RNAcentral. Lineage: Bacteria; Bacillati; Bacillota; Bacilli; Caryophanales; Bacillaceae.
AGGGGCCUUAGCUCAGCUGGGAGAGCGCUUCGCUGGCAGCGAAGAGGUCAGGGGUUCGAGCCCCCUAGGCUCC